CUAUGCGCCUUGCCAGCCCGCUCAGAAACUUAAAGGCAUUGGACGGGGCCCGCACAAGCGGAGGAACAUGUGGUUUAAUUCGAUGAUACGCGAGGAACCUUACCGUGGGCUUUAAAGUGGGGAGUGACAGCUGUCGAAAGAUGGUUUUCUUCGGACACUCUUCAAGGUGCUGCAUGGUUGUCGUCAGCUCGUGCCGUGAGGUGUCGGGUUAAGUCCCAUAACGAGCGCAACCCUUACCGUUAGUUACCAUCAGGUUAAGCUGGGGACUCUAGCGGGACUGCCACCGUAAGGUGAGAGGAAGGUGGGGAUGACGUCAAAUCAGCACGGCCCUUAUGUCCAGGGCUACACACGUGUUACAAUGGCCGGUACAAAGGGCAGCUACUUCGCGAGAAGAUGCUAAUCUCGAAAGCCGGUCUCAGUUCGGAUCGAAGUCUGCAACCCGACUUCGUGAAGCUGGAUUCGCUAGUAAUCGCGCAUCAGCCAUGGCGCGGUGAAUACGUUCCCGGGCCUU
Molecule: ribosomal RNA, 511 nt
Filed under: uncultured Sphingobacteriales bacterium
Lineage: Bacteria; Pseudomonadati; Bacteroidota; Sphingobacteriia; Sphingobacteriales
Description: bacterial SSU rRNA
Rfam family: Bacterial small subunit ribosomal RNA
Source: RNAcentral